AGAACGAACGCUGGCGGCAGGCCUCAAACAUGCAAGUCUAGGGGGGUGUAGCAAUACAUCACCGGCGGACGGGUGCGUAACGCGUGGGAAUAUACCUUUUGGUUCGGAACAACUGAGGGAAACUUCAGCUAAUACCGAAUGUGCCCUAACGGGGAAAGAUUUAUCGCCAAAGGAUUAGCCCGCGUAGGAUUAGCUAGUUGGUGAGGUAAUGGCUCACCAAGGCUCCGAUCCUUAGCUGUUCUGAGAGGAAGAUCAGCCACACUGGGACUGAGACACGGCCCAGACUCCUACGGGAGGCAGCAGUUGGGAAUCUUGGACAAUGGGGGAAACCCUGAUCCAGCCAUGCCGCGUGAGUGAUGAAGGCCUUCGGGUUGUAAACUCUUUCGACGGGGACGAUAAUGACGGUACCCGUAGAAGAAGCUCGGCUAACUUCGCGCCAGCAGCCGC
Molecule: ribosomal RNA, 447 nt
Filed under: uncultured bacterium
Lineage: Bacteria
Description: SSU rRNA
Rfam family: Bacterial small subunit ribosomal RNA
Source: RNAcentral